UUGAAGACAUUUGUUAGCUAAGAUCCAUAAAACAAAAUAAAAAAGUGAAAAUAUAAUUACAUAUAAAUUGUUUAUUGAAUGGUAGAGAGUUAUUUACCGUAAGGAAAAUAGGAAAGCAGGUUGGUUCUUUUAUCGAUCACAUGCAUAUCUUACCAUUUUCCAUUCCAUCAUUUCUAUCCAAUGGACCCUUCCUCUUUCUUUUCUGUCUCACUUUUCCUCUACCUUCUUCUCAUCCAAAAUCACAUUUCUUUCCUUCAAUAAAGUUCCUCGCCAAAAGUUACAACCCCCUUUACUUCUUGUUAUCACAUGUUCGCCCUCAAUUUGAAAAAUAUUGUUACUAUAUAUAUAUACUCUAAAAAGUUACAUAAUAAUUAUUUUUAAAUAAU
This 386-nucleotide long non-coding RNA is filed under the name Cicer arietinum (chickpea). RNAcentral's name for it is "long non-coding RNA (CARI_LNC001165)". Lineage: Eukaryota; Viridiplantae; Streptophyta; Magnoliopsida; Fabales; Fabaceae. The record is from RNAcentral.